GUUGGUUUCUUGGGCUACUAGAAUUGCUGAAACUCCAAAGACUGACUUUGAUUUUUUGAAAGCCUUGUUUCCUAUAAGUAAAUUAUGAAUCUUCAAAAGUUCAUAUUUGGACAUUGAAACUCAGGUUCUAAAUGUUUCUUGUAUUGUUUUUAGGUUGCUGUGGCACACACAAUUGGGCAUGUGGCUACAACAGUGAGCAUGUCAAAAGUUGCAGUUUCCUUUACUCACAUAAUUAAGAGUGGAGAGCCUGCUUUCAGUGUUUUUGUUUCAAGUUUACUUUUGGGUGAAACUUUCCCAUUGCCAGUGUACCUUUAACUUAUGCCUAUUAUUGGUGGUUGUGCACUUGCUGCCAUUACUGAGCUCAACUUCAAUCUAACAGGUGAACAAGAAAAUGCAUGUUUCACCUUUUUGACCACCCCCUUAAUUACAAUCUAGAUUUUAGGCUGCAUUAUAUCUGCCAUUAAUUUUAGAAUUCUGUAAUUUUUAAUCUUGAUAACAUGCAGGUUUUAUGGGGGCACUGAUAUCAAACUUGGCAUUUGUAUUCAGAAACAUAUUCUCAAAGAAAGGGAUGAAGGGGAAGUCAGUUGGAGGGAUGAAUUACUAUGCAUGUCUUUCAAUGAUGUCUCUUUUGAUUCUGACUCCUUUUGCUAUUGUUGUUGAGGGUCCACAAGUAUGGGCACUUGGAUGGCAGAAAGCAGUCUCCCAAAUUGGCCCAAAUUUCAUAUGGUAUGUACAUAGUUUUUAGAGAAAACAUCACUUUGGUUAUAUUUGUAAAUCUCCACAAUUGACGUUAAAAAAAUAAUACAAAUGUCAUGUAAAGGUACUUAAUUGAAUGAAAGAUCCCAAAUCACUUUCAGUUGGUUUGAAGCAGUGUAUGUCAUCUCACAUGUUUCCCUUUGGAAUCAGGCUCAUAUGUGUGGUUCUGGUUUGCAUAAUAAAAAAAGGCAGUCUGAUCCACUAAGUUUUCACUAUGCAUAGGGUCCGGAAAAGGAUCGGAUCGCAAGAGUCUAUUGUACGCAGUCUUACCCUGUAAUUCUGCAAGAGGUUAUUUCCACAGCUUGAACCUGUAACCUUCUAGUUACAUGGCAACAACUUUACCAAUUACGCCAAGAAUCCCCUUUUGUUUGCAUAGUAAAAGUGGUCCAAAAAACUCACAAGAGCUUAAAAAAUACUGUAAACCGAAUAUUUGAAAGAUUCUGUAAACUGAUGUCUGUUUGAUUGCUAUUUUUUUUUGUUAGGUGGGUAGUGGCCCAAAGUGUGUUCUAUCACUUUGUACAAUCAAGUCUCUUACAUGUCCCUAAAUGAGAUCUCUCCACUCACAUUUAGCAUUGGUAACACUAUGAAGAGAAUUUCUGUCAUAGUCUCAUCCAUCAUCAUCUUCCAAAUUCCAAUACAACCAUUUAAUGCCCUUGGUGCUGCCAUUGCAAUCUGUGGAACUUUCCUCUACUCACAGGUAAAUAGAUUUCAAAAGUAGUUAUAUUAUUUGAUAUUGUCAGUGUCAGUUUCUUUUCAUAUUUACUUGGGGACCAAUAAAGAUCCAUCAACUGAUCAAUCUAGCAUAUGGACAACUUGUUACUUCAUCCUAGAGUUAUCACUGCACACCAUGCUUAGACAACUAGAAGGAUUGUGACCACUCAAGAGAAACCUUUGAUUCACUUAUAAAAAUUAGAGCUAAAUUUGUUUUUCUUGUUUUAUUAUUGCAGGCUAAGCAGUAAGUGAAGUUUGGCGAGGUAAAUGAAAAGAAAGGUGGAAGUAAAAAAAAGACAGCACUAGACUAACAGUUGUUGUAGAUGAGAUAAGAUCAUAUAUCUUAGUGACUAUUAUUUUUUCUUCCUAGCAAAUGACUGGAAACGUCAAGAAAACCAAAAUGCUGCCUCAUCCAAGCUGCAACUCUCAUCCAAAAAUUUCUAUCAACAUUUCUACUGUAGAUAAUAUGAGAAUAUAUUGUAUGAAGUGUUCAAUGAUUAUAAAUUCUAAAUAUUCAGUUAGCUCUAUUUCAUAUUUGGAAUUAUUUACCUGUAAAACAGUACGGUUGAAUUUGUUACGUGCUUUAUAGACAAGCGAACUGAUUUGAUCCGAAAUGAUAAAUAAAUUAGAUUAAAAGUAAGACUUAGCGAUUAGAAUCGAAAGAAAUGGCAAGCCUGACUCAGAGAGCAAUGCCAUCCGAGGACAUAAAUAAGAGCAAUGUAAAACAAAAAAUAAAGUUAUUUUAUUUAGCUUGAGAAUAUAUAUAAUGCAUCAUAAGUUUUGCUAAAGAUUUCGUGUCUUACCAUGGUUAUUGAGUCUACUAUUUAUAGUUAUACCUAAGGAAACAAGGUCCUACGAUUAAGCCCCUUUUAAAUGACAAUAAAGGCGAAUAUUAAUGAAUAUGUAACAGCAGGCCAUGAAUGAUAUUCUCUGCAACGGUUGUCCAUUUAAUACCAGGGAAUAUUCUUCAUUGAAUGCUAUCCGAUGGCAAGCAUUUGAUCCCAACCACGUUGAUCAUAUUCCCUUCGGGGUUAGUCCGAUGUCAAUCACAACUGUUGUUCCCAGUACUGGUUAAUACACAAUUUACUUUCUACAUGUCUUCGGUUCCACGUGUCAUGUUGCCAAUUGUUCAUUGAAUGUAAACUAAUUUUACCCUAUACAGAUAGUCCCCCUACUUUCCGGUGGCAUAGUCACCAGGAAGUUGGUGAAGAUCCCUUUCUUGGCUAGAAAUCUUCUGAAAACCUUCUGAACAGUCUCUGACGCUUUAAAGGACGCACGUCUUCUGGCAUUUAAUACCCUAAACACGUUUUGCCCCAUGAUUUAACAAUAUUUUUGCCGGUUCUCGAGGUAAUCAUGAGCAUGAUUUUUUCCAUAUAUAUCUAUACUUAUACUCAUCAUCUUACCUAUUUCACUUCUAAAAUUUUCAUAAGUUUCUUACCUUUUUUGCACUUAACCUUCUUUUUCUUUCAUCUCUUUCCGAUUUUCUUCAAAAACUUCGCCGUGUUCUUGCUAUUAUGGCUUCUUUCACUGAAUCAUUUAAGAACUCUGGUCUUUUCUUCGGUGGAGGCCCGAAGAGAAGCAAAGAUAAAGAGGUUGAUGUCGAUGUUGAUCCUGCUAUGGUAAGCACCAUCAUACCAAAACACUUGAGCACUAUUAAUGACUUCCAAGAUAAGUUUCCCUCUGUGCAUCCACGGACUUGGGUUGUUAGAGGUAUCGUUAUUCUAUUCAUCCUUCCAGUAUUCCUAGUGUGAAGGAGGACUAUAACUACCCAGACCUUAAUAUCAUUGCUCCUGACCUGGUAGAGCAGGUUACCUUCACUAAGAAGGAUUUUACGUGUGUCUAUACGUACCCCUUUACUUUGGGAACAUUUUCUUUGAGCGGGGGACUUGACCCCAUGAUCUUGGAGUGGUACCAUCGGUAACAGGUCUACUUGGCAUAAGUAGGCCCUUCUGUGUGGCGAACGGUAGCCUGUCGACGCCGGCUGUGCACAGAGAUGUGGAAAACCCUAAUCCUAGCACAUAUGAUGAACCUCUAAUCCCCCAAAAUGUUUAGUAGGAGAGUAACAAAUUUAAGCAAAUGUGGUCACCACGCCCUACUUACCAACGUGGAUGAUGACAAUGAUCGUGGGUCGAUGGAGAGGUUUUUCAUCAUUGCUAAUAAGGAUAUCAUUCUGACCACAACUCCAUCCUUUCCUGAAUCAUGGAGUCGUUCACGUAAGUUUAUAAUUUCUUAAUCUUUUUCCUUUGUAAAAAGUCUGCUCCUCAUCAUUCUUGACCCUUUUGUCUUCGUUAUUUGAGCUACUAAGUGAACACCACCAAGGGUUGAAGGCCCAGACCAAUGGAUUCAGAAGAUUCUGGACAUUACAAACCUAGAAACCUACCGUGGACAGAGAUGGCCCCAAAAUAUGGAUGGAAGGCCAAGAACUACGAUAAACAGAUUCUUUCUACUUUCCUCCUUUGUAUGUACAUAAGUAAAUUUGCUAACCAUAUAUUUUUGUUUGAUUCAGGAUUCUCGCAAGGCUCUAUUAUCUGCCCUAAAGUCGAGGUUUUAGCUAAUUCUGAGGAGGCUGCGAGAUUGCUGCAAGAUGCUCUCACUCGGAGCAGUGCCCACGGGAUUGCUUCCGGUGGGGGCACUUCCUCUCAAAGUCCCCAGCCAGAGAACAAGCGACCAAUAAGGCGACUCUCUUUCUCGGUUGGGGAUAAAAAUAAGAAAGUAAAGGAGGGCACACCUUAGCCGGCCGCAAUCGUCAUUAAAGAUUACAGGGAAGCUAGUGAUGAAGAGGCUUCCCUUCAAUGGAGACAACGAUCUUCAUCAGCUCAACUGAAUGCUCAACCGAAUGCUCAACCAGGAGAGCUUUUAGAACUGACCGAUGAAGAGGCCCAAGCACUGUGGGGCGAGAUGGAUCUGGUAGAUAAUGCCAACUUCCGUUGUCCUAUUCCGUUGUUGUUCCUAGUCCAAGGAGUUUGGGGCCCGGGCCUUUUUUCAAUUUGGUUAAUGAGCAAUCGAUAAUUAGCAUUGCUCCUGUUGCACCUAUUUCUCAGCCUACAAUACAAACAACAUGACGCCCCUCUACACCAGUUGCUCCUACGCUACCAGCAUCCAUUGCAUCCUCUCUGUCGGCCACAGAUGCCCGAGAGAAGGGUGCUUCUCUACCCAGUCCCCUGACCACGGUAAUUUGGGGUACAAUUACUCACCCCUUCUCCUAAUCCCCGAGAAAAGAGGAGUGUCACUCUCUCAGUUUCAAACCUGUUGUCCAGGCUGGUGGAGCUUGCCAACUACCUGAAGCUGUUGGCUUCAGAGAAAGAUAAGAAUAAAAUACACUCCUUUAUGGGAAGUUCAUGUUGAACAAUGUCAUGCACAAUGCAGCAGCGGUACCGUACUUGUUCUCUUGUUGCUUGAUCUUUGUUUAUCUAUUAUUAUGGGUUUUCUGACUUGGAUAUAUGUUUUGUAGGCCAACUUAUUUGCCUUCGAGGGCCUUCAGAGAUUGAUCCUUUAUAAGGAGGGACUUAUGUCCGACCGGGAUUAGUUGUUGGUCAAAAGGAAUUAACUUGACAUGUGCCUCCCAGUGCUAGAGGCAAAGGCUACUGAAGCGGCCAAGCUUAAGGCCUGGUUGCAGCACAGUGAGCAGAAAGUGAUGGCCCACAGCCAAGAAGCCACUCAGGUACAUGCACGACUUCAAGAAACUUAGGCUAGAUGGGCUGAGCUUCAAGAUGCUGCUCUUGCUGCUGCCGAGUGCGAGUCUGCCUAUGUUGAGCAAAUAAAUAACUUGGAGGCAGCCUUGAGCUCUAAAAGCGAAGAGGCUGCUACCGCCGAGGAGAAGCAGGCCCAGAUGGAAGAUAGGUUUAAGAAGAUCAUGGAUCAAAACAGGGUUCACAUAUCCGAGCGGGAUGGUCUCCAGGCCGAGGUUGAUAAGCUUAAGUCAAUAAUCCAGUUCCAAGAAUAUUCCCUCGUAUUUGAAAUGACGUACACUAUGUAUCAUAUAAGGAGAAAAACCUUGGAGGAUUCCAAAGUGAGCAUCGUUGGUAUUGAUGACGAAAUCUCCAUAGCCCAAGCAUUGGAGUUAACUGCGGGAGAGCAUCUCCCAACUAAGCCUGACGCAAUUGACUCUUCAAGUACAAGUUCCAAGUAUUCGAGACCUAAGUAGGAACUUGAAGAGAAUAAUGAUGAAGGUCUAGGUCCCACACCGGAGGCAGAUCUACCCACUUUUCUCGGGAGCGUAGAUGCCUCUCUCCCCCCGAGUUUUUUUGGCGAUGAUGUUUAGAUUUUUCCUCUUUUCUUUUGUUAUUUUCCUUUAUACUUUUGUACUUAAGUCGUUUGGAAUUUUGAUAAAUAAAGAAAACUUUAUCUUAAGUAUUGCGUAAAGUUUCAAAUUAGAUAAGGCUUCGGGUGUAUUUUCUUCCGAUAGCUUUUUGUUCCGAGCAUAAAUUCUUCCAGAACCAACCCUUUACUAUAAGGAUUUCAUAAUAGAGGGCCCUCUUAUGUUAUCACAGGCAAUCUCCAUUAGUAUUCUGAAUUGGCAAAUUAUGUAUUCCCAAAAGAAGUUGAUCACUUCGCGCUCACUGAUCUUUUGGCAAGGACCUACUUCAACCCAUUUAAUGAAGUAAUCGGUUAAAAUUAAAAGGAAUCUUACCUUUCCGGGACUCGGUGGCAGCGACCCAAUUAUAUCCAUCCCCCAUUUCAUAAAUAGCUAUGGUGAUAGUACCGAAUGCAAGAGUUCUGGUGGUUAGUGUACCAAUUAUGCAUGGCAGUGACAUUUGUCGCAUUUCUGAAUGAACGACUUUGCAUCUUGUUCCAUCCGGGGCCAGUUGUAUCCUUCCCUAACUAGCUUUAGCACGAACAAAUCUGCACCAGAACAGUUCCGAAAAAUUCCUUCAUGGACCUCUCUCAUCAACGUAGUCCGCCUCCAAGGCUCCUAAACAUCGGGCCAACGGACCUUGGAAUGAUCUCAUAUAUAAUUUUCCACCUAGGCGGCUGUACUGACUCGCUUUGGUGUGUAGUGCUCGGGAGGCCUUCGGGCAGCUUUCCAUGCCGAAGAUAAUUGAUGAACUUAUUCCUCCAGUCCCAAACCAGGUUGGUUGUAUUUACUUCACAAUAGUAGUCCACAUCAAGUAUCGAAUUCAUAAGUUGAACGACACCGGAGUCAUAUCCUUUCAUUUUCGUGGACGACCCAAAAUUACCCAAUGCAUCUGCUUCUACGUUUUCUUUCUCUCGAGAUGUGCGUGAUCGACCACUCCUUGAAUCAUGCAAGCAAAGUUUGAACUUUAAUCACGUACUGUUGCAUGCGUUCCUCCUUCAUGUAGAAAAUCAUGUACACUUUGUCUACUACCAGUUGCAGGAAUCACAUUUGAUUUCUAUGACCUCGGAGCCAAGUCCUUGGGCCAGUUCACCUGCAACCAAAGCUUUAUACUCGACUUCAUUGUUAGUUAACGAAACAAUUUUUAUGGUCUGCCUCAAGGUUUCCCCUGAAGGCAUUAUUAGGACGACCCCGAUUCCGGACCCUUUUCAUAUUGGAAGUUCCAUCCGUGAAAAAAUUCCAAACUCCUGAUGUCGUUUCUGAUGCCAGCACCGCUUCUUUAGCAGCCAAGGGCAAUAACCCAGGACUAAAAUCGGCCACAAAGUCGGCCAAAACUUGUGAUUUGAUUGCAGUCCUAGGCUUGUAUUCAAUAUCGAACUCACUAAUUUCGACUACCCUUUUGGCCAAUCAGACUGACAACUCAAGCUUGUGAAGAACAUUUCGUAAGUGGAAGGUCGUCACAACAACUAUCAGGUGGCACUGAAAAUAAGGCCUAAGAUUUUGAGAGGCGACUAUGGGAGCUAAGGCCAUUUUUUUGUGGUGCGGAUAACGAGUCUCCGCUCCUGAAAUAUUUUUCUAACAUAAUAGAAAGGAAAUUGCGUACCUUCAUCCUCCUAGACUAAAACGGCACUUACUUCUACCUCAGAGAUAGCUAAGUAUAUUAGCAGUUGUUCACCUUCCCCUAGUUUCGAUAAUAGCAGGGGGCUUGAUAGAUAAUAUUUCAGGUCUUUCAAUGCCUGCUGACAUUCCAAAGCCCAUUCAAAAUUGUUCUUUUUCUUUAGAAGAGAGAGGAAUUGAUGAUAUUUUUCGAGGAUCGAAAGAUGAACCUGUUUACAGCGGCCAAUCUUCCGGUUAGCCUUUGGACUUCUUUUAUGCAUGUCAGCUGGUCCAGGAUGUCUUCGAUGUCUUUGGUCUUAUCGGGAUUUACCUCGAUCCCCCUUUGUGAAACCAAGAAACCCAAGAACUUACCGGAGCCAACCAUGAACGCGCAUUUUUUUGGGUUGAGCUUCAUGUUGUGUUUCCUCAAGAUAUCAAUGGUUUCUUGGAGUUGUUUUAAAUUAUCACCUGUAUUCAAAGACUUGACCAACAUGUCAUAUAUAUACACUUCUAUCAUUUUACCUAUUUGCAUCUAGAACAUCUUGUUCACGAGCCUCUGAUAAGUGGCUUCAGCAUUUUUAAGUCUAAAGGGCAUCAUAUUGCAACAAUGUGUGCCAAAGUUCAUUAUGAAUGAAGUUUUCCUGAUCCCCCGGGUUCCUCUUGAUAUGAUUGUACCCGUAAUAGGUAUUGAGGAAACUCGUUAACUUGUGCCCAGCUGUUGUAUCAAUCAUUUGAUAAAUGUUUGGCAACAGGAAUGAGUCUUUAGGGGACACCUUAUUCAAGUCUUCAUAAUCUACGCACAUUCGAAACUUGUUAUUCUUUUUCGGAACCACAACUAUAUUAACUAACCAUUAGGGAUACUUUACCUCCUAGAUUGCACCGAUGUCAAGUAGUCGAGUUACCUCUUCCUUAACGAACUUGUUUCUGACCUCGGCUAUUGGGCAUUUCUUUUACCUCACCAGAGGGAUGCUCUGGUACAGGCUUAGCUCGUGCACGGCCACAUCUAGUGGGAUACCUAUCAUAUCCGAGUGUGACCAUGCAAGAAAAUCAACAUUAGCUUUAAGGAAAUUAAUAAAUCCUAACCUGAGUUUGGGAUUGAGUCAUGUUCCCAAGUGAAACUUUCUCUCUACGAAUUCCUCAAACAAGGCCACUUGUUCGAGUUCUUCUGUUGUGGAUUUAGUCGUGUCGGUCACUUUCGGUACCUGAAAGUAUCUUGGUACAUGGUGGGAUUCCGAUGACUCCUCGCCCUUAUCAUCUUCACUUGACACGGGGGAAGGCGUCGGUUCUUAUAAUUGUUAUUUGCUGGGAUCCUUCCCUUUACUAUCGGGAGUCAACAUUGCAUUCAGUUCUCUUGCUGCCGGUUGAUCUCCUCGUAUCUGGUUGAUCCUCUUUGAGGUCAUCUCAUGUAACCAUGGUCUAUCGAGAAUUAUGUUGUAGCCUAUGUCACUGUCCACCACUUCAAAUAAGGUGGUCUUCGUGGUCCCUUCGACAUUCGUGGGCAGCAAUAUCUCUCCUCGGGUUGUCAUAAUUACCAAGUUGAACCCGGUGAGGAGCUUUGUUGCCAGAAUGAUACUUCCCGUUAAUUUGGAUUGUUCCAGCACUCUCCAUUGAAUUAUGUUGGAUGAUCUCCCUAGUUCAACCAAAACACGUUUAAUCUUGAAAUCUAGAAGUCCAUCGGGGUCCUCCUCCGUGAAAGUGAUGUCGUCUUCGUGGAGUCUCUUGUUAUCUGUCACUGAUACCUUUGUUUUCUUUGCUGCCAAAAAGGUUAUGCUAUUGAUUUCCUUCCCUCCGAAAAUCAUAUUGAUAGCCAAUCGAAAAGGGUCUUCCCCUAUCUUCAAGGGUUUUGCAUUUUCCCAGCUGCGAUCGUAUUUUUUCUUGGCUCAAGAACUUCCUGAAAUGGACGUUAACAGCGUUGCCACCUCCUCGCGUAGAUGCAAACAAUCCCUAGUUUUGUGGCCUUAAGUACCAUAAUAUUCGCACCAUAGGUUGGGAUCCCUAUGGCUGGGAUCAAAUCUGAUUGGCUUCAGGAAUCAUUCUUCUUUGAUAUUCCUCAUCGCUGAUACCAACUCCACUACGCCGAUUUUGCAAUUAUAAUCCGACAACCUGGGGUAAGUGGAAUCCUAGAUCCCUGAUACCUCUUUUUCUUAUAAUGACUUGUUGUUUCAGACGCAGUAAGUUCUUCUUUCGGGGGCGAAUCUAUUUGAGAACCGGAACCCUUUACUGCCCCGUCCCUUAGCUCUCUCGUAAGGCAAAAAGCAACCUUUAGAAAUCGUCGAUGUGCAUCAAUAUCAUCCUUAAUCUUAUCUCAGUUCUUAUCUCUGUCCUCCUCUUAGUUGAUGUCGGGAAAUCGAGAUGAUCAUCUUCUAUACUUAUCUCCGAUUUAUAGCGGUUAUGGACAUCCGCCCAUGUCAUGUCUUGGAAUUCGAGCAGGCUUUCCUUCAAUUUUUGGGAGGCAUUAGAGCUCCUUGGUUUUAAUCCCUUAGUAAAUGCAUCUACUGCCCAUUCCUCUAGUACGACCUUUAGCAACAUCCACUCUUUCUGAAAUCUAAUAACGAACUUCCGCAAUAAUUUGAACUCACCUGUGUGAUUUUGAAUAUGUUCGUCGUCUUGGCUUGAACCUUUCUUGCCCCGGCAUGGGCCUUAAUGAAUGAAUCUACAAGUAUUUCAAAAGUGUCAAUUGAAUGCUCGGGUAAAAGUGAAUACCAUGUCAAGUCCCCCUUCGUGAGGGUUUCUCCAAACUUUUUCAGUAUGAACCAAUUCGAUCUCAUGUCGAGCCAAAUCGUUCCCCUCACAGCCGUUGUAUAAGUUGUGAUGUGCUCCCGAGGAUCUGAGGUCCUAUCGUAUUUUGGGAUGUACAGCAUCCUGAACCUUUUCAGAAUUAACUCUGGUGUUGCGCUCGGUUUGAAUGGUAAUUAAGUAUAUUUUUUUGAAUUCGGACCCUUCAAAACUGGUGGUGCGCUUAGAAUCUGGUCCAUCGAGCGUGAAAAUCAUUCGUGUUCUAGUCCAUCCACUCAUUCAUCUCCCUCAUAAAUCUCAAGAGUUCGGUUUUGAAGGGAUCAUUGUCAUUAUCAUUACCGGAUCCGCUACCGGUCCCCCGGCACCGUCAAAGCCGACCUCACCCCUAGGGGUAUUUUUAUCAACUCUUUGAGCCGUCUGAUUUGCAGGAACGCCAGGCGGAGACGGACCUCUUCCAUUUGCAUUGUUGGAAGCACCUGAUAAUGCUUGCUUCAAUUCUGUCAUGACCUGGUCCUGCCUUGAGAGAUGGCCCAUGAUGACCUUCUAUUGCUCUUUCAAGAUCCUUACUAUUUCUGCAACGAGUUCGUCUUCUGCGUCAUCGGGAGUUGUCUUACGCACAUGUCAUGGGUACUAUCAUCUUCGAACCAGGGUUGCAUCGUCCCCCUCGUUGAGGGUGUCACUAAUUAAAUCCUGGUGUUGAGGUGGGUCCUCAUGUCCCUCAACGUUGUGAGCGACGUUGACAUCGUUAGCUGUCAUUUUUUAUUUUUGCUAAGAAACAAAGAAUCAAACAAGCUAGUAAUAAACGCAAGCAUCAACCUAAUACACAAUAGUCUAAGCCCCAUGGUGGGCGUCAAACUCUUUGCCCGUAAAACGGUACAGUUGAAUUUAUUACGUGAUUUAUAGACAAGCAAACUGAUUUAAUCCAAAAUAAAAAAUAAAUUAGAUUAAAAGAAAGACUUAGCGAUUAGAAUAGAAAGAAAUGACAAGCCUGGCACCGGAAGCAAUGCCUCCGAGGAUAGAAAUAUGAGCAAUGUAAGCAGAAAGUAAAGUAUUUUAUUUAGCUUGAGAAUAGAAUAUUGUUUAAGUUUUGCCAAAGUUUUUCAUGCCUUACAAUGGUUGUUGAGACUACUAUUUAUAGCUAUACCUAGGGAAACAAGAUCCUAGUAUCAAACCCCUCUUAAAUGAAAGUAAAUAGAGAUAUUGAUGAAUAUGUAACGACAGACUAUGAAUGCAAAUAUUCUCUCCAGUGACUGCCCAUUUAAUGCUAGGGAAUAUUCUUCUUUGAAUGCUAUCAGAUAAAAAGAAUUUGGUUCCGAUCACAUUGAUCAAAUUCCAUUCGGGGUCAGUUCGAUGUCAAUCACAAUUGUUGUUACUGGUACUGGUUACUACAUAAUUUAUUUUCUACCUGUCUUCGGUUCCACAUGUCACGAUGUCAUUCAAUCAUUUAAUGUAAACCCAUUAUUACCCUAUACAUGAAUGUAACUAGAGGAGUUUAAAAUCUUGUCUUAGAAACUAAUUCUCCAUACCUUUUUGACCUAUGUAAUUCAUAUUGACAAGAAGUUAAAGGAAUUCACAUAGAAAAAGAAUAUUAGUACUUUUCACAGUAGAAAGGUUCAAGCAUAAAUAGAAAAGCGGCCCCCUGUACUUGUAGUAUUCAUAGGGUGAUAAGUUAUGCUAUUUUGUAUUUUGAUGAUUUGCCAAACGUUCUCAAGGAACCAUAUAGGGACCAGGUGUGAAUCAGUUUCAUCGGUCGUCGUAUAGUCAACUCCACAGUUUUAAAAUUUGUUGCACUAAAAAAAUUCUAUCUCUUCUCACAUGCCUACUCGUAUAUAUAGAACAUAAUACAAGGUUUAACCUGACACUUGAAAACCUCAAAGCAGUUAUAAUAGAGAACUAUGGAAAGCGAGAUAGUAGUAGCAACAAGAAAAAAUAAAGAAGAAAGCAAAGAAAGCAAUAGGUAAUAAUGUUAAUCUAAAAAAGUAAACACAAGGAUAACACUAGUACUACUGAUAUGGACGGAAGUACAAGUAUGGAAAGGAAAGAGGCUCAUCUACUUACUAAUCUACAACGCUAGUUCUCGACCUCCACAUCCCCUAUCAAAGGUCAUGUUAUCGGUAAGCUGAAGAUGUGCCAUGCCAUGUCUUAUCACCUCUCCCUAAUAUUUUUUUUGGCCUAUCUCUACCUUUAUUAGGACCCGCCAUAUCCAACCUUUCACACCUCCCCACUAGGGCAUAUGUGUCUCUCCUCUUCACAUGCCCGAACCAUUUCAGCCCCGCUUUUCGCAUCUUGUCCACCACAUAGGCUACACACACCUUAUCUCGGAUAUCUUCAUUGCUAAUCCUAUCCCUCCUAGUAUGACCACACAUCCAUCUCAGCAUCCUUAUUUUUGCAACGUUUAACUUCUAAAUAUAAGAGGUCUUGACUGGCCAGCACUCCGCUACAUACAACAUAGUCGGUCUAACCACUACUCUGUAAAAUUUACAUUUGAGUCUUGGUGGCACAUUCUUGUCGUACAAGAUCUAGGAUGCGAGCCUCUAUUUCAUCCACCCCGCUCCAAUACGACGUCUGACAUCCUCAUCAAUCUCUCCAUUUCCUUGGAUUAUAGAUCCAAGAUACUUAAAACUAUCUCCCUUGAGUGUGACUUGUGUGUCCAACCUCACUUCAAUGUCAUCCUCCCGAGUCACAUAACUAAACUUACACUCCAAGUUUUAUAUUUUAGUCAUGAUCAACUUGAAAUCUUUAGACUCCAGGGUCUGCCUCCAGACCUCCAGCCUAGGAUUAACACCGCCUCGUGUCUCAUCAAUCAGAACUAUGUCAUCUGCAAAUAACAUGCACCAAGGUACCUCCCCUUGAAUAUGUCGUGUCAACUCAUCCAUCACCAAGGCAAUUAGGAACGGGGUAAGUGUUGAUCCCUGAUGCAACUCCACCUCUACGGGAAAGUGUCCCGAGUCCUCUCCUACCAUUCUAACUCGGGUCUUGCUCCAUCGUACAUAUCCUUCCUUGGUGAAUGCAAUAGGUAUACCUCUAGCCUCUAAGCAUCUCUAUAGAACCUCCCUAGGGAUUUUGUAUGCCUUUUCCAGACCGAUGAACAUUGUAUGUAAUUCUUUCUUCCUCUCCCUAUACUGUUCCACCGAUCUCCUAACAAGAUGGAUGGCUUAUGUAGUUGAGUGCCCCGAUAUGAAUCUGAACCGAUUCUCAGAAAUAGACACACCCCUCCUUAUCCCCAUCUCGACCACCCUCUCCUAGAUUUUCAUAGUAUGGCUUAACAGCUUGAUACCCCUAUAGUUGUUGCAAUUUUGAAUAUCACUCCUCGGGCAUUCUUGCCUUCCUAAAAAUGAAAUUAAACAAUCUCGUAAGCUACUCCAAACUUGCUCUUCCAGUACUCUUCUAAAAUUUCACUGGGGUCUCGUUCGGCCCGGUAGUUCUUCCCCUGCUCAUCUUGCGCAUAGCCCCCGCAACGUCCUCCACCCUUACCCACCUACAAUACCCACAAUCACGACGACUCUCUGAGUGCUCCAAAUCAUCGAGCACAAUAUUUAUAUCCUUCUCUUUAUUCAAGAGUCCGGAAGUAUGUGUGCCAUAUAUGUCUAAUAACUGCAUCUUCCACCAAUACUUUGUCAUCUUCGUCUUUAAUGCACUUCACUUAAUUUAUGUUGCGGACCUUCUUUUUUCUUGCCUUAGCUAGCCUGUACAUCUUCUUCUCUCCACCUGUGACUUCAAGUUCUUCAUAUAAGCACCGAACAAUAUGUGAAAAAAUCACAUAUAUUUCCAUACCAAAGUCCAAACACACAUGUAAUCACCCUAAUUUGUGAUCGAUAGGGGCAGAUACUUUAGUUACGGGGUAGCUAAUACUUUUUAUUCGAAUCUACUCCAUAAUUAUAUGUUUAUUGUUAGAGAAAAAAGGCAAUGAUACUUUGCGCUCACCUAUUUAAACAAGUUUGCUUUUUAAUAAGUGAAGGUAAUAAAUUAUCUUUAUAUUUGAAAAUAAUUUUGCUUAAACAUUUUAUUUUACCAUAAUGAUAAUCUUUUAUAGUCAUACAAAUACUAUGAUAUGUUGAAGAACUCAAUUUAUUGUGAUAUGUUUAAGGCCGUAAAUUCUUUUUAAAUAAUUUUUUUUUUUGAAUUUCAUGUCCAAUCAAAUAGGAUAUUUUGUGUGUGUGGUUGGGGAUUGUGAAACAAUAGAGUAACAACUAGCAGAGUGUCCUCUUUAUGAUAAGGUUGAACAGAAGUGACGUUAAAAAGGGAUUUUUCCUAAAGGUACAAAAGUAGGAUAAUAUUUACCCGCUUUAGCUUGAUUUUGAAUUUUAAAAAGUAGUUAGAGUUUUUUUCUACGAGAUAUGUGAAAAUUCGACUAAAACAUACAACUUAUAUACAACACAACUUUUUAAUAUAUAAAAUUCUGUCACAACAUACAACUUACAUGUUGCAUAUAAAAUUUUUAUUUUUUACAAAAUAUGCAACUUACUACAAUUUGCACACAAUUAUUUUGUACGUAUUUUGUCUUCCUCUUCGACUUUUAGUAUGAAAUUCCAACCAAAACUAUCUAUAAUCUUUAUCAAAUUCCCUCAAAAUCGUUAUAUAAACUCCAAAAAAUAUUUCUAAUCUUUGCAAUAAUACUCAAUCCAAACAAAUAAUAAUUUUGUAAAAUUUGAUUUUUUAAUUUAAAACUUUAAAGCAUUUUAAUGGCUAAAAGCUUUUAAUGGAUUUUAAUUAGAUUUAUUAUUUUGGAUAAAAUGAUUGAGAUCUUCUCUACAGUGUCUAAAGCAUAAUUCUUUAAUUUAAUAGCUUGAAGCCUUAGUUAUUGAUGAUGUAAAGCAAAAAUUUCUAAUUAUAUACAUAAACAUAAAACUGUAGCAUCUAAUUCUAACUGGAUAGAAAGAUUAUAUCUCUAAAAUUCUUUGGAGGCAUAAGAAAGUGGAAAGAUUGAAACCUAAAAUGGGAACAUUGGAGCACAAUUCCCUUACUUUGUAUACAAUUAAUAAAGAGAAUUUUACGAAAAUAUCUUAAAUAAGUUUUAAUUUAUCAACCUCUAACCAAUAAUUAUAUACUUAUCAAAACUAGUCAAGUACAUACAAAAAUUAAAAACCCAAAUAAAUUAAGAUUCUUUUUCUCCAAGUGUAACGACCCGACCGGUCGUUUUAAGUACUUGCACUUCGAUCGCCAGUUCUCGGGCAUGACUAGUCUCGUAUGAUGUAUUAUGACUUAUGUAAAUCGUCGAUUUUGGUCCAGUUCUCGGGCAUGACUAGCCUCGUAUGAUGUAUUAUGACUUAUGUAAAUCGUCGAUUUUGGUUUCCAGGUUAAUCUGAAUAGAUAUGGAAGAAAGAUUCUCACCUUGAAGCUUUAAAUUUGAAAGGUUUGACCAAGUUUUGACUUUUUAGUAUUUGACCUCGGAUUUUUAUUUUAAUGACUAUGUUAGCUCCGUUAGGUGAUUUUGGACUUAAGAGCGCGUCCAGUUUGUGAUUUGAAGGUCAGUAGUGGAAUUAGGCUUGAAUUGGCAAAACUGGGAAUUUAGCGAUUUCCGGUCGGCAGUGGAAAAUUUGAUAUCGGAGUCGUAAUAUAAUCCCGAGAGUUGGAUUAGGCUGGUAAUUUCAUUUGCGACAUUUGUGCAAAAUUUAAGGUCAUUCGGACGAGGUUUGAUAGGUUUCGGCAUCGGUUGUGAAAGUUUGAGGUUUCAAGCCCAUUAAGCUUGAAUUGGUGUGUGAUUUAUGUUUUUGCAAUUAUUUGAGGUGAUUCGAGAGCUCGAUUGAGUUGGUAUGGUAUUUUAGAUUGAUGACACAUUUGGUUGAGGUUCCGGAGGCCUCGGGUGUAUUUUGGGUGAGUUUUGAGCGAGUCCGGGCAUUACCGGAACUCAGGCAUGGUUCUAGUUCUUAAUUUUCGCUGAGGGCGAAGGAAUUUCUGCUGAGGGCGGAAUAAUUCCGCUGAGGGCGGAAUUUGGGGCACUAAGGCGCUCCAGGGAAGAAUCCGCAUGUUCGUUGGUCCGACUUCGGAAGCCUAUAACUUUUGAUAUACAAGAAAUUUUGAGAUGAUUCAAAAACAAAAAUUGUAGCUCUUCGUGUCUAGUUUCCAGAAAGGUAAAGAAAUUAUCCUUUAGACAUCUGUAGUGAAAGAUAUAGCCAAAAUAUGAAGGCCUGUAUCAGAAGCGCGGUCAGCGGAGGAAUUCCGCGGUCAACGGUGGAAGUUCGCUGGGGCGGUGAUUUUUGGCUGUCAGGGGAAAUGGAAAUCCGAGAGGUGCACUAUAAAUAUGAGAUUUAGGGUUUUAUAUCAUAUUUUGACCUAGAGAGCUCGGAUCUUGGAAAUUUUUCGAAGGUAUUUCAAGAAAUUCAUCGGGGUAAGUGAUUCUACCUCGGAUUUGGCUAAAAUACAUGAAUCUAUCAUGGAUUUUAUCAUUUGAAUAGUGAUUUGGGUUGAAAAUUUGGGGAAAUUGUGGAACUUCAUAAAAUGCACUUUUGGAAUUUGAAAGUCGAUUCGAAGUCAGAAUUGAGUGAAACUAGUAUGGUUAGUCUCGUAAUCAAGUGGGAUGUCAGAUUUUGUGACUUUGGUUGGAUUUCAAGACGUGGGCCCGGGGCCCGACUUUUGAGUUGACUUUUUGAAUUUUGGCCUUAAGCUUAGUAUUUUCUUAUGGGAUUGGUCCAUUUUUCUCGUGUUGAUUGUAUCGAAUUGUUUGUGGCUAGAUUCGAGGCUUUUGGAGGCCGGUUCAAGAAAAAAGGGCAUUGUGGAGUAGAGGAUUAACCGGGUUGAGGUAAGUAAUGAUUGUAAAUCUUGUCCUGAGGGUAUGAAACCCCAUAUUUCAUAUUGUUUCACUAUUUUGAGGUGACGCGCAUGCUGAAUGAUGAGCGUGUGGGCAUGUACCGUUGGGGAUUGUGACUCGGUCCAUCCCGUAGCAACUAUAAGUUGCGUAUUUGGUUGAAACUAUAUGAUACUUAUGUGUUUUAGAAAUUUUUUUUUAUAAAUUGAGCUGAAUGCCAUGUUUGGGCCUUGUGCCAAAGUUGUUUCCACCCUGAGGGGCCUUUUCUUACUAUCCUCUUACUGUUUUCAAUUGAAACUCUAUACUUAGUGAUGUUAUACUCAUUAAUUUCAUAACUUAGUUUUUACUAUACUGUUUUGAAACAUAUAUGAAAAUGUUGUUUUGGGCUGAGCACCCUGUUUUUACUGAUAGUCCGAGUGGCUUAAGAGGUUGAUGACUGAGUGAGUCUGAGGGCCUGAUUUGUGAGGAUAUUAUGGGAUCAGGUUGCACGCCAUAACAUGAUGUUAUUGAUUCAUGAUUAUGAUGCCGAGGGCUUGAUUUAUUAUGUCAUGAGGUGGCUUGUUAUGAGGCUGAGGGCCUGUUUGAUUAUCCCACGAGGUGGCUUGUUAUAGAGCUUGGGCUGUAGGUACCCCUCCGGAGUCUGUACACCCCCAAUGAGCACGGGUAGCCUGAGUGAGUGAUAUGAUGUUAGCCCGAGGGGCUAUUUAUGAUAUGAUGUGUUGCCGAGGGUCUGUUCUUGAUCCAUGUUUUUCCCAAGGGGCUGUUCUUGAUUUAUGUUAUGCUCGAGGGGCUGAUUAUGAGUGACUGUGAGGUUUACCCGAGGGAAGGUUUAUGAUUCAUGUUUGCCCGAGGGGCGAUUCACGAGUGAUGUUUUGCCUGAGGGGCUAUUAUAUUUUCAUCAUUUUACUCACUGUUUUACCACUUGUUCGAACACUAUUGAAAGAUGUUUUAAAAGGUUUUACUGAAACCGGAUUUGAAACAAGAUGAUUUGACUCAUAUACUGAUUUAAAGGCAUGUUGUACUUACUGAGUUUUCAUGAUAUGGAUUUUAUGUGUUUCCUACUGCUCAAUCUUUAUUUACUUUUAUUACUUACUGAGUUGGCGUACUCACAUUAGUCCCUGCACCUUGUAUGCAAAUUUAGGGAUUGUUGGAUGUGCUAGCGAGCGUUGAUCUUCAUCCGCCGCGGAUAUCUCGGAGUUGGCAAGAUAGCUGCAUGGCGAUCACAGCCUUGUCCUCCUCCCUCCUAUCUCCCCUUAGAUAUUAGUAGUUUAUUUCCAGACUACUUUCAGUUUUUGUCGUACUUGGGAACAGUUGUAGUUUGCUCAUGACUUAGUAACACUCGAGGUCGGGCUUUUAUUUCCACAUUUUGGUUUUGAACUUACUCCUUUGUUGAAAAUUUUAGUAUGAAAAAGGCUAUUAUCUAAAUCAUAAUGAAAUGCCGUAUUAGUUUGGGAACGUGUCGGCUGGCCUAGUUCCAUGAUAGGCGCCAUCAGGACCAGGCUGGGUUUUGGGUCGUGACAAGUUGGUAUCAGAGCCUAGGUUACAUAGGUCUCACGAGUCAUGAGCGGGUUUAGUAGAGUCUUGCUGAUCGGUACGGAGAUGUCUGUACUUAUCUUCGAGAGGUUGCAGAACCCUUAGGAAACUUCACAUUCUUGAAUUCUUAUCGUGUGACAUUGAUUCAGCUUUAAGUGUAACUCUUUGAAUUCCUUCCACGCAUUCGUAUGUGCACAUGAGCACUCGGUAUCAGCUGAGCAUCGAUGGCUUGUGAUUAUCUGGAUGAGGUACGAGAUGUUAUCUCGGCAUAUUGAUAAUGGGCCAGUUUGGAGGACUUGAGGCCGAGUUUUGUCUAUGGCUUGAGUACUGAGAUUUCGAUUGUGUGAGCAUGUGCGUUUGGGACUUAUAUGUCCGUUUCUAUCCCUGUUGGUGGGAUUUGUGACUGGAUGACUAUGGGGUAAGUAUGAUUUGAUUGCGAGAUAUGUUCAGAUUGUUCGGAUGUGGUAAGAAGAGUUUGCUGGAGAUGUAGCAAGGGCUAUCGGGUGCUUGACUUCUUUCUUGAGUUGGCUUAUGGCAUCGAGCUAUGGGUGUGUUGAAGGACCCCUGUGGAGUGGAGUAGAUCUUCAUGUGGUGUUAUGAGUUCAGACUCAGGGGUUAAGUGACUGUGUCAUAGUUAUGGUUAUGGAAGAGUAUAAAGAGAUACUAGUUUGAGGCUAAGCAAGUGGAUUAUCUCCUGCGGGGUAUUCUAAGAUUUGUAUGAUCCUUUUUUUUGGUUGGGAGUGCUCUUUUACCAGUGAAAUAUACGUGUUCCAAUUUGAGUUUAGAUUUCUUAUGAAAAUGGGCUUGACCGUUACGAGGGUGAAUGCGAGAUUUGAAGAUGAUUUGAAACACUAGGUGGUUUGUGUUGCUUGAGCUUACAAGAGGAUCUAGUUGAAUAUCACUAUGGUAUUAUGGCAGUAAUAGAGUAUGGGAAUUGUGAGUUUUUGUGUGUUUUGAUCCAUGGCUUUGAGCCAAGUGGGGGAGUUGGCUAUUGAUCAGUUAAUUACACGGUUAUAUGUUGUGUUGGCUCCAAUUUGAGGUAUACUAGUGAAUAAGUUAUGGCUUACAGAGGUUGAGAUCGAUGAUGACUUGAUUAAAGGAAAUUUCAGAUAAGGGUUGUGUUAUGCUUUAUGGGUAUAUGAGAAAUAUAUAAUAAUUUCAGUCGUUGUUGGUGAAAGACGUAAUGUGCGUGGAUAAGGAAUUUAUCUGGUUACAUUAAGGUGGGGUUACUUCCUUGGUUGUUGAAGUGCUAAUGGGGCAGAGGUCGUUCAGUCCGAUUGGUAAGCCUAAUUGAGAUUUGAGCAGAGUAGAUGACUUCCGAGAAUAGUUCUAAUGGAUUUAAGGUUUAUAUGUAACAUUCGGGGAUCUUCAGGAUGUGUGUUGGCUAGAAACUGAGAUUUAUAUGGGAGGAUGUCAGGACUUGUGGCAUUUCUAUAUCAUUAUGGAUUCAACAUACCAGUAUCAGGAAGGCGAAUGUAAUCGCUUUAGAUUCGCAGAAGGUCUCUUCAGAGUGGGUAUCUCGAUUGUGCUACUUUUGGGGGUACCUCAGAAGAUUUCAACUACUUAUGAGCCUUAGGGUGGUGUGGUUUUAUGCUAAAGUUUGUGGGGAAAGUUUUAGUUAAGGAUAGUGGUGUACUAGCAAGGAAACAUAUAAAUUUGAAGGUAAUUCGAUAUGGAACUCAAAGAAUUAGGACAGCUUGAUAGUAGGUUGGAUUGGCAUGGUAAUAGAUAGGAUCGGUUCUUAGGUGCUUAUGAUGCAGUGGGUUUCUACAACUGUUUCGUGGCAAUGCUCUUAGGUUUCGAUGGCUUGCAUAGCUUGGUUGAGUUAGGAGUCAGUCCUAAUGGUUUGGUUUUGUGCAAAGGGGAUUUGGAGAGUUCUUAAUGAUUUCUACCACGAUUGGAGGUGUACAUUUUCUACUGGCAUGAGGAGCAUGGGAUGUAUAGUGAUUUUCUUCUAGAUGGGAUCAAACGGAAAAGUUCUUGGCUGGUUGAGUACGUAGUUGCUUGUAGCUCUGAGUGGAUUAUGAAGUUCUCAUAUUUAUCAUAGGAUGGUAUCGUAUAUGCGGUAUGUUGUGUGGGGUUGAGGUUUACAUGUGUUGUCACACCUCCUUUUACACACCCCCGGAAGGGUAUAAGGGAGUUUUUCUAAUUAAAGGACAAUCGAAACGGGAUUUAUUUAUCAAAAGAUUCAGAGUCGCCACUUGGGAUAAUUUAGGGUGUCCCAAGUCACCGGUUUAAAAUCCCGAAUCGAGGAAGUUGACUCUGUUCUACAGCCUGCAAACCAGAAAUUCGGAUAAGGAAUUCUGUUAACCCAGAAGAAGGUGUUAGGCACUCCCGAGUUCCGUGGUUCUAGCACGGUCGGUUAGCAAUUUAUACUUGGCUUAAAUUAUUUAAAUAUUCAUUUUUAGGACCUAUGUGCAUUUAUCUAUUAACCGCUUUUAAAUCACUUGAUUAUUCGUAAUUAAAGAAUUGAGUUACGCGUACAUAUACUCUUUUCCUUUGGCGCGUCAAAAAUCAUGUCACGCGAACGUGUCCAUAAUUAAUAACGCUUUGUUUAUUUAUUUAAGAAAAUUUGGUCGAAGUUGCGCGAACGCAUACCUCGAUUUAUUUUUAAAAGAAUCGUAAUUAUGUCACGCGAAUAUGUACACAAUCAUAAUAAUAGAUUAGGUUGCGCCUAAAGUAACUACGAGGUUCAUUAGAUGUGUAGUUCCUAAUUCGAUGGUUGUGAGCAAAGGGCUCGAGAUUAUGGAGUACCUUUACUAAGUUUCAGGCCCAUUCCCUCUUAAGCUCCUAGUUUCAUGUAUUUGACCAAGCCCAAUUCCUAAAGGAUGUGAACAAGUUUAAACACUAACAGGCUUUGAUUUUCCCCACUCCCCGACUUAACAAUCAUUCACGCGAAUAUGGAAAAGUUUGACAAAACAAAUACUCCGAUUAACCAUCUGGGCACUUGAGGUAAGAAAAGACAUACCAAACAGGAUAAACAAAUACCAAAGGCAUAUAUGAAAAAAAACUAAUUUACAACAUAGUAGUCAAAAAAGGACAAACGCCUAACCAAAAUUGAUUUGAGAACCAUUAAUGGGCCAUUGGACUUGUGAAGGAGUCGACUGAUCAAUUAAAAUGAGAGUAGUCCGAAAUUAGCGAAACCAACGCGAACUAUAAUAGACAUAAGAAAGAAUUUGACCUCUCGUUUUUCAAUUUCAAGAUCCGCUUCUCCCAGGUUAAACUUUUUCCUUUUUAGCGGAUAAUCUACGAAACUUUUAAUGAUAUGAUUCAAGGUUGCGUUGAAAUAACAAUUAUUCACUGUCACGUUAAAGCACUUAACCAAAUAAUGAGACUAAAACAGCAAAUGAAAACAAACCAACAUAACAUACUAUACCAAAUUAAUCGAUAUCCUUCACCAAACUAAAAUAAUGAGAUGAAACAACAUUAAGGUUUUGAGGAAUGCACCUCUACUGCAGCACACUUUUUGAAAGAAGGAUUAAGAAAAGAGCACCCUACAAGCCUUUACGAGCAAAUGAACCAGUGACCGGAAACUCGACGUGACAACCUUGAACAGGCUUCGACCAAAGAUCAACAGAAACGAUCGUCGAUACUCAAUCAGAAAACUCGGGAUUCACCGGAACCAUGACAACGUUCAACGAGGGGCCUCGUCGUGAACUUGAAUCGCUCAAGCAAACUCCGUUCAUGGAAAAGCAAAAAUCUAACACUAGGAAGAUGAAACAGAAAGUUUUAUGUGCUUUGUUCUAUAGUUAUCUUAUGAGUUUUACAUCAGGGAAAUCUCAAAGUAUGUGUGUUCUUGUGUAUAUGUACAUAUCCAAUGGAGAUGGAANNN
This 22203-nucleotide long non-coding RNA is filed under the name Nicotiana tabacum (common tobacco). RNAcentral's name for it is "long non-coding RNA (NTAB_LNC003673)". The record is from RNAcentral. Lineage: Eukaryota; Viridiplantae; Streptophyta; Magnoliopsida; Solanales; Solanaceae.